GAUGAACGCUGGCGGCGUGCCUAAUACAUGCAAGUCGAGCGAACAGACGAGGAGCUUGCUCCUCUGACGUUAGCGGCGGACGGGUGAGUAACACGUGGAUAACCUACCUAUAAGACUGGGAUAACUUCGGGAAACCGGAGCUAAUACCGGAUAACAUGUUGAACCGCAUGGUUCAACAGUGAAAGACGGUCUUGCUGUCACUUAUAGAUGGAUCCGCGCCGCAUUAGCUAGUUGGUAAGGUAACGGCUUACCAAGGCAACGAUGCGUAGCCGACCUGAGAGGGUGAUCGGGCACACUGGAACUGAGACACGGUCCAGACUCCUACGGGAGGCAGCAGUAGGGAAUCUUCCGCAAUGGGCGAGAGCCUGACGGAGCAACGCCGCGUGAGUGAAGAAGGUCUUCGGAUCGUAAAGCUCUGUUAUUAGGGAAGAACAAAUGUGUAAGUAACUAUGCACGUCUUGACGGUACCUAAUCAGAAAGCCACGGCUAACUACGUG
RNAcentral lists this ribosomal RNA (497 nucleotides) under uncultured bacterium. RNAcentral's name for it is "partial 16S ribosomal RNA". It matches the Rfam family "Bacterial small subunit ribosomal RNA", at positions 28 to 507 of the family's 1533-position model. The record is from RNAcentral.